GAUGAACGCUGGCGGCGUGCCUAAUACAUGCAAGUCGAGCGAACGGACGAGAAGUUUGCUUCUCUGAUGUUAUCGGCGGACGGGUGAGUAACACGUGGAUAACCUACCUAUAAGACAGGGAUAACAUCGGGAAACCGGAGCUAAUACCGGAUAAUAUAUUGAACCGCAUUGUGCAAAAGUGAAAGACGCUCUUGCUGUCACUAAUAGAUGGAUCCGUCCUGCAUUAGUAAGUUGGUAAGGUAACGGCUUACCAAGGCAACGAUGGAUACACGACCUGAGAGCGUGAACGCCCACCCGGGAACUGAGACACGGCCCACACUCCUACGGGAGGCAGCAGUAGAGACUCUUCCGCAAUGGGCGAAAGCGUGACGGAGCAACACCGCGUGAGUGAUGAAGGUCUUCGGAUCGUAAAACUCUGUUAUUAGGGAAGAACAUAUGUGUAAGUAACUGUGCACAUCUUGACGGUACCUAAUGAGAAAGCCACGGCUAACUACGUG
This 497-nucleotide ribosomal RNA is filed under the name uncultured bacterium. RNAcentral's name for it is "partial 16S ribosomal RNA". It matches the Rfam family "Bacterial small subunit ribosomal RNA", at positions 28 to 507 of the family's 1533-position model. The record is from RNAcentral.